This 88-nucleotide ribosomal RNA is filed under the name Janthinobacterium lividum. Lineage: Bacteria; Pseudomonadati; Pseudomonadota; Betaproteobacteria; Burkholderiales; Oxalobacteraceae. The record is from RNAcentral. RNAcentral also lists the same sequence under 4 other names.
CACCCCUUCCCAUCCCGAACAGGACCGUGAAACGACUUUGCGCCGAUGAUAGUGCUGCAACCAGUGUGAAAGUAGGUUAUCGUCAGGC